This is a long non-coding RNA of Parus major (Great Tit), 1809 nucleotides long. RefSeq lists it as uncharacterized. Lineage: Eukaryota; Metazoa; Chordata; Aves; Passeriformes; Paridae. The transcript is spliced from 2 exons. The record is from RefSeq and is a predicted model, not a curated record.
GGGCUGCAGGGGAAUCCCAGCUCCAGUGCCUGGGGCGCAUCCUGCCUCUCCUUCUGCACUGACCUCCGUGUUCCUCUCACAUGGUCUCACUCCUCCCUUCUCUGGCUGCAAUAACCUCUGUGCAAUAAUGUUUGUUUCCUUCUUCAGUACCUUAUUGCAGAGGUGCUGCCUGCAUCACUGGCCCGGCUCAGCCUUGCCAGCAGUGGGUCUGUCCUGGAGCCUGCUGGUGCUGGCUCUGCCAGACACAGGGGAUGCUUCUGGCAGCUUCUCACAGAAGCCAGCCCUCUACUCCUGUACCUCCCACUGACAGCAUUUCAAAGGAAAAUAUAACCUGAAGGUGCCCUGUUCAUCCAUGAACCAGGUGGUCAUUGUUUGAAUACCUCUGAAUGACGCUUUGUCUCUGGAAGGGAAAAAACCCAAUUAAAGCAGUGCAGGCCACAGAAGGUGAUUUUUUCCCACUCCAUGCCCUUCUCCCGGCUGCAGAUGGCGCCCGAGCCCCUGGAAUUCGCCCUUCUCCCAGCGCCAAGGCGGGUCUGCACCAUCAGUGCCCGGGUACCAUCAGCGUCUGCAGCCCUGCACGGCACCGGGGGAUGGGGAAUGCACUGCCAGCGGGAAGGAAGUUUUGGCAUCAUUUUGGAGCUAGAUUGGGUCUAGAUUGUUAUUCGCUUCGAAUGUCUAUGAUCCAGGGAAGGUUGUGAUUGCUAUACCUGAUGUCCUCCUCAGCAGGAAGCCCUUUCCAGUGUAGGGAACUGCAUGCCUAACAAAUACAUUCAAUUAUAACGAAAAAAAUUACAUGGAGCGAUGGAAAUCCACACUAAGCUACGGAGGAGCAGUAACAGUUGUAGCUUUUUACACAAAAGCUAAUGGUAUUAUUGAAUUACAGUAUGCUUUUUUGAUGCUCUUUAUCUCUCUUUUGUUUUUUUCCUUCUUUUUUCUCUUUUUGUUUAUUUUUCUCUUUUCUCUUUUUUUUCUUCAGGAAAGGUGAUCAGUUCUCCUGUGCCAAGCAGAAGAGGCUUUCAGGAACACGCUGCUGACUUUUCAGCUCAAUCUAGCAGCAGCAGGACUUCAUUUUACCCUGUUUAUCAGAACACAAGGAAUUUGGCAGUGCUUUUACACUGCCUGCCUCCUCUAGUGACUAAAACAGGGUUAGGCAGCUCAGAUAUUUAGGGCCCUAAUGCAUGAUUUGCAGCAUUAAUAAUGCAGACCUGAUAGGAUUUGGCUCUCUGUGCAGUUAAUGGAGAAAUUAGAUGCAAUUCGUCAGGCACAGAACACUGUGCACUAUAAAUGCAUAUUUCACAAGCAUUUUUGCUUGUGGCAAGCUGCUUGUGGCAGUUUUCUGUUCUUUGAAUUAGCUCUCACCACCUCCCAGAGUUUGAUAACCCCCUCCCAUCUUACUAAUAAAGAUAACUGGUAAUAACCAGUAGGAAGAAGUAAAUGCUAACAGAGAAGCCCUAAGACAAUGAAAUUAGACAUCUCUGUAAAAACGGGUGAAGAGAGAUGAUCUGUUUUUCUAGGUCUAAAAACUAAUUUGCAAGCAGGGUCAAUGACAAAAGCACUGACAGGAAUGUCUAUCAGAUAUUCAUCCCAGGUAUUUACAAAGCCCCUGUAGUCAUGCUACACCUAUAUGGUCUUGGAAAAUAAGGAGACUGAGCAGACUGUAAGUGCUGUAAAGAAACAAAAAAUGAAGUGACUCCUAUGACAUCAGCCAUAAUGACAAAGAGGAUUCCAACUAUAAAAUAAUAGCACAUUGCAGGAUUAUUCUUGCAAAUCAAGAUAUAAAAAAUAGUUAGAAAGAAUUAUGUUUAACCA